UACGGAGGGGGCUAGCGUUGUUCGGAAUUACUGGGCGUAAAGCGCACGUAGGCGGCUUUGUAAGUUAGAGGUGAAAGCCCGGAGCUCAACUUCGGAAUUGCCUUUAAGACUGUAUCGCUUGAAUCAUGGAGAGGUCAGUGGAAUUCCGAGUGUAGAGGUGAAAUUCGUAGAUAUUCGGAAGAACACCAGUGGCGAAGGCAAUCCCCUGGGCCUGUACUGACGCUCAUGCACGAAAGCGUGGGGAGCAAACAGG
RNAcentral lists this ribosomal RNA (253 nucleotides) under uncultured bacterium. RNAcentral describes it as "partial 16S ribosomal RNA". It matches the Rfam family "Bacterial small subunit ribosomal RNA", at positions 524 to 776 of the family's 1533-position model. The record is from RNAcentral.